CACCACGAAUUCAAGAUCUGGUGGAAUUAGGGAUCUGGCACAAAACACAAUUUUUCUCAAAGAAAAACGUGACAACUGCUCCA
Molecule: small nucleolar RNA, 83 nt
Organism: Caenorhabditis elegans
Lineage: Eukaryota; Metazoa; Nematoda; Chromadorea; Rhabditida; Rhabditidae
Source: Ensembl